RNAcentral lists this ribosomal RNA (483 nucleotides) under uncultured bacterium. Its description in RNAcentral is "partial 16S ribosomal RNA". It matches the Rfam family "Bacterial small subunit ribosomal RNA", at positions 28 to 507 of the family's 1533-position model. The record is from RNAcentral.
GACGAACGCUGGCGGCGUGCCUAACACAUGCAAGUCGAGCGGGGAUUUAAGUGGAAGUUCUUCGGAAUGGAGAUUUAAAUUCUAGCGGCGGACGGGUGAGUAACGCGUGAACAAUCUGUCCCGGACAGGGGGAUAACACUUGGAAACAGGUGCUAAUACCGCAUAAGACCACGGCCUCGCAUGGGGCUGAGGUAAAAGGAGCAAUCCGGUUCGGGGUGAGUUCACGUCCGAUUAGCUAGUUGGUGAGGUAACGGCCCACCAAGGCGACGAUCGGUAGCCGGCCUGAGAGGGUGAACGGCCACAUUGGAACUGAGAGACGGUCCAAACUCCUACGGGAGGCAGCAGUGGGGAAUAUUGGGCAAUGGGCGAAAGCCUGACCCAGCAACGCCGCGUGAGGGAAGAAGGUUUUCGGAUUGUAAACCUCUGUCCUAUGGGACGAAGGAAGUGACGGUACCAUAGGAGGAAGCCCCGGCUAACUACGUG